RNAcentral lists this ribosomal RNA (468 nucleotides) under uncultured bacterium. Its description in RNAcentral is "partial 16S ribosomal RNA". It matches the Rfam family "Bacterial small subunit ribosomal RNA", at positions 28 to 507 of the family's 1533-position model. The record is from RNAcentral.
GACGAACGCUGGCGGCGUGCUUAACACAUGCAAGUCGAACGGAAAGGCCCUGCUUUUGUGGGGUGCUCGAGUGGCGAACGGGUGAGUAACACGUGAGUAACCUGCCCUUGACUUUGGGAUAACUUCAGGAAACUGGGGCUAAUACCGGAUAGGAGCUCCUGCUGCAUGGUGGGGGUUGGAAAGUUUCGGCGGUUGGGGAUGGACUCGCGGCUUAUCAGCUUGCUGGUGGGGUAGUGGCUUACCAAGGCUUUGACGGGUAGCCGGCCUGAGAGGGUGACCGGCCACAUUGGGACUGAGAGACGGCCCAGACUCCUACGGGAGGCAGCAGUGGGAAAUAUUGCACAAUGAGCGGAAGCCUGAUGCAGCAACGCCGCGUGCGGGAUGACGGCCUUCGGGUUGUAAACCGCUUUCGCCUGUGACGAAGCGUGAGUGACGGUAAUGGGUAAAGAAGCACCGGCUAACUACGUG